Molecule: long non-coding RNA, 451 nt
Organism: Quercus lobata
Lineage: Eukaryota; Viridiplantae; Streptophyta; Magnoliopsida; Fagales; Fagaceae
Exons: 4
Source: RefSeq, a predicted model, not a curated record
GUUUUGCCAUGACGCUCCUUCAUGCUGCAAUGGCUUCACUUCUUUACCAAAGUGGUGCCGUUUCAAUAAAGAUGAAUGUGCUACUAUAUGCUUCAUCUCUAUUACUUCUCAUGCUAAGAGGUAUGGAUAUUAUUGGGGUGAUAUCGGCUUUAGCUGGUGCAGCAUUGGUGUAGGUGCUUGCUCUGUCUUCGACAUUCUUAGGGUUGUCAGCAUAGGCUUGAAGGUGAGUUGGAGUUCAACUAUCAUUAUGUUGUAAGAGAGGGCAUUGUGUACAGUGUUCAUUUGUUGCACCUACUUCGUGAAUGGUUCUGGGAGGUUGGCAUUUUCACCUAUUAUUGAGGGAAGGAGUUGUAUCAUAGAUGAUCAAAGUGGGUUAGGGAGUUGUACAGUGCCUUUACUAUAUGCAUUAUUUUCCUCUUAUUAGGGCCCAACUUGCUAUUAAGUUAAAAAC